AGACUCCCUUUGCCUACCUCUUCCUCUCUGACCCCAUCCUCGCUUUGAUGCCCGGGACCUGCUACCCAGAGUCUUUCCCGCUCUAGGUGACUGGGUGCUAAGGAGGAAAGUUCUUCAGUGAGUCUUAUAAAGCGGCACCAAAACGCGGUAUUUAUAGUGACAUAAUCAGCCCUAAUGGAGAUGGAAUUACCCCAUAAAGGCCCCAAGGAGCCCUCAGGGCCUCAGCGCCACUGCAGCAGACAAGGCUCCUGUACAGGCAGGUGGAGCCCGAGUGAGUGUGUGUUUGUGUGUGACUGCCUCUCCUGCCAAUCCCUGCCUCCGGCCCACCAGCCUGCUUAGGGGCCCACCUUUGCUAGGACUUAGCUGGGGCUGGGUACUGGGGGCAAGGAGAUGACAAAGGUGAAUGCUGAAGCCAUGGCCUCACUUACCCCACCUUUGAUCUGUGCCUGCCUUUGGCCAAGAGCAUCAGAAAAAAAAUAAUGCGGCCUGGGCAAUACAGUGAGACCCCAUCUCUACAAAAGAAAAAAGAAAAAAAAUUAGCUGGGCAUGGUGGUGAGCACCCGUGGCCUCAGCUACUCGGGCGGCUGAGGAAGGAGGAUUGCUUGAGCCUAGGAGGUCAAGGCUGCAAUGAGCCGUGAUUGCACCACUGCACUCCAGCCUAGGCAACCAAGUGAGACCCUGUUUCAAAACAAAAUUUUUUUAAAAAAAGAAAAGCAAAGAAAAAAACUGUAGCCAAUACUUAUGAAGCACUACUAUGUGCCGGGCCCAGUUCUAGGCACUUAUCUGUACUGAUCCACUUAGUUCUCAUGACACCUUCAGGGAGGUGGCCACUGCUCCUGCCCACAUUUUGCAGAAGAGCAAAUUUGGAAGUAAAAUUUGGAGCUGGCAUUCUGGCCCAGACAGGCUAGAUCCAGCGCGCACUCUCAUGGGUACCUGCCUCAACCAUUGCCUCUGAAUUCCACUGAACCUGGAGAGCAGUGCCCCGUCCUGGAAUGUGCCAACUCUCCGCAGCUGGGAUCUUUAAGAAACAACGUGAGGCUCAGAGAGAAGAAAUGACUAAAAUUACACAGCUGGUACAUGGCAGAGGUGGAACUAAAAAGUUAAGUGUGUCUACCCCAGAGCCGAGUAGACCUGCUCUUUUUUGAACACUUCCUGGACUUUCAUGCCUUUGUCCCAGCUGUGCCCUCUCCCUGGAUGCCCCUUCCAUCUGGGCAGCUCCUACUAGACCUGCCUUGGCAUACAUAACACAGGAGAACGGAUUGCCAAAGGGUAGGAGAGUGCCUGGUCUAUAGUGUGCGCCCAACACAGAUUUGGUGAAUGAAUGAACACUGGGUCCAGCAGACCUGGAUUCUUCCAUGUAACCCACUGUGUGGCCUUGGUGGAGCCAUGCGGGUGCAAUAAUCCUGGUUUCCACCCUUCAGGGCUGCUGCUGGGACUCAGUGAGAUCAUCAUGUAUCUAAUGCCCUUUGCUCAGUGCUGGGCACACAGUCAAUGCGCAUUGAAUCUUAGCUAUUGCUACCUUUACAAUCAAUCAAAAGUCACUUCUGAAGAAUAGACAGGGCUCCCCCAGGCCAAAUAAAUAAUUCCUCCCGGGACAAACCCCAGCUCUCACUCCCUCCUCUUUAGGCAGGGGGCUCCCUGAAGGACAGAGACCCGGUUUUAUUCCAUCUUGCCGUCCCCCAUGGUGCCGGGCAUACAGUGGUGCCCAGUAAACGUGUGUGUUGCACAAACAUGCGGUAACUAGGGCCCCAUCUUUUUCAAAAGAACACACUCCCCAGGUGCAGCCGCAAAGAGAGACUGUUCAGCUGUUCAGGUGAGGUUUUGGGGUGAAACUCGUCUGAAUAAUAGUUUUACUGAACACAGCCUCACCCCCAACAAGGAGGCAAUUUGAGGUGGGGGUGGGGAGACUUAAAUGUGGGCUCCCGGGUUUUAAAGGGGGUAGCGCGGGAGGAAGCCCCCCAAUAAUUGCGGGGCUUCCCCCACCCCCAGAGCUGGAUUAGAGGCUGCGCCACUUCCUUUGGGGCUCGCUCGCGCUUCCUGGGAGCCUUUGAUGUGGGUUCUUGGUAGAUCCUGCCCGCGGGGCCUGGAUGCGGGCGGAGCCUCCGGGCAGGGCGGGGCCUCAGCCUGGGUCCGCACUGGGGAGGCGGCCACCCGGUAGCUUGGGCGGGUUCCGCCCACCUCCCGCCUGUAUUUACAGCCCCCUUCCAACAUCCCCGACUCCCUGAGGGCGCCCCUCAUUCUGCUCGGCCUUGCCUUCCCCAUUCGGCCACAUCCUCCUCUCUCCCAACUCAGCUUCGACCCCCAAAGCCUUUCCCUAACCAUCGGAACCACAGGCUUUUCUCCGGCCUCUGAGUGCCAGUCUUCAACUAGGUGUCUUUUAAAAAAUCAAAAAGCAUCUCAUCCUACGGGAUGUGUGUGAAAAAAUAAAAAUAAAAUAAAGAAAAAGGGGGCCGGGCGCGGGAGCUCACGCCUGUAAUCCCAGCACUUUGGGAGGCCUAGGCGGGCGGAUCACCUGCAGUCAGGAGUUCGAGACCAGCUUGACCAAACUAGAGAAACUCCGUCUCUACUGAAAAUACGAAAUUAGCCGCGCAUGGUGGCGCAUGUCUGUAAUCCUAGCUACUCUGGAGGCUGAGGCAGGGGAAUCUCUUGAACCUGGGAGGUGGAGGUUGCAGUGAGCCGAGAUAGCGUCAUUGCACUCUUGCCUGGGCAAUAACAAGAGCGAAGCUCCAUCUCCAAAAAAAAAAAAAGAAGAAAGAAAAAAAGAAAAAGAUAGCCCAUCGCUCCUCCAUUGCAGACCCAAAGGCUGUCAGCUGAAUGGAAGGUGCUUCCUCACGACCUUUGGGAUAAGUAAAUUUGAAGUAAUAGAAAUAGCCAGCUGGGCGCGGUGGCUCAUGCCUGUAAUCCCAGCACUUUGGGAGGCUGAGGGGGGCAGAUCACCUGAAGUUAGGAGCUCGAGACCAGUCUGGCCAACAUGGUGAAACCCCGUCUCUACUAAAAAUAAUUAGCCAGGCGAGGUGGCGUGCACCUGUAAUCCCAGCUACUCAAGGAGGCUGAGGCAGGAGAAUAGCUUGAACCCGGGAGGCAGAGUUUGCAGUGAGCUGAGAUCGCGCCAUUGCACUCCAGUGAGCCGAGAUCGCACCAUUGCACUCCAGCCUGGGCAACAAGAGCGAAACUCCAUCUCAAAAAAAAAAUUUUUUUUGAAAAAUAGGCCAGGCCUGCCUCAGUGCUCUUACACGUACUGUCCCCUCUGCCUGGAUCAGUUUGUGCCCCUGCCCCCAAAUUUUCAGGGCUGGCUCCCUCGCCUCCUUCAGAUCUCUGUUUGAAGUUCAGCUCAUGUCUGCCACAUGUCCUAACCACCGUAUUUAAAAUAGCAGCCUCAGGCCAGGUGCGGUGGCUCACGUCUGUAAUCCCAGCACUUUGGGAGGCCAAAGCAGGCAGAUCACCUGAGGUUGGGAGUUCGAGACCAGCCUGACCAACGUGGAGAAACCACAUCUCUACUAAAAAUACAAAAUUAGCCGGGCGUGGUGGAGCAUGCCUGUAAUCCCAGCGACUCUGUCUCAAAAUAAAAUAAAAUAAAAUAAAUAAAAUAAAAUAAAAUAAAAUAAAAUAAAAUAUAAAAUAAAAUAAAAUAAAAUAAAAUAUAGCAGCCUCUCACCCCACUCCACCUCUGGACUCCCUGUCCCCCUUCCUUGCUGUAUUUUUCUCCAUAGCAAUUACCACCACCAGCUGCCACACUCCAGAGAUUACCGUUCGUUUGUCUAUUGUCUGUCUCCCCCUGCUCACACCACCCCCAUUCGUGUGUGAGCUCCAGGAGAAGGGCCGGGGUUGCUGCUGCUCUUGCAUUGAGAGAUGACAGUAGCUCGGCCUCUUAGAGCAGUAUGACGAUGGCACAAGUUACUAUUUGCCAAGCACAGAGCAUGACGUCAUGCCCAGAAGCCCAGGAUACAAUCCAGAGACAAUGACAAAUGGGGGAUUCCCGCUUCUGCAGAAGGUGGGGCGACUGGUGCCCAGGGGCCCCCAGGAAGUGCCCUUACCUGACUCCCAGGAUCCUCCUCUGUGACCCUGGGGCCUUCCAACCUGCCAGGUACUUUUCCUGUAUUAUCUUAUUUUAUCCUCCCAAUAGCCUCUGUGAGCAGCACACUCCCCAUUUCACAGACAAGGAAACUGAGGCUUACACAAGUGAAGUGACCUGCUCGACGUUGCACAAGGAAGUGGCAAAGUCAGCCUCUGAAUCCAAGCCGUUGGGCUCUAAAGGCCCUGAUGCCACUCAGCUAACCAUGUGGCCUCUGGACAUCACUGCCAUCUUUUCUCUUACCCUCCUCUCCUCCUUGCACUGUGUUCUGAGGGUCAGCCUGACAACCCGUGUCCCCUGGGCAGAUGUGCAGAGGAAGAUCAAGUUGUUGUUCGCCAGGGGCCGAGGGCAAAUUUCUGGCUUCCCACGGCCACCACUUACUGGGAGUUUCGGAUGAGGUGCUUCACUGCCCUGAGCUCUUCUUCCGGGUCAAGUGGGGAUAAAAAUAAAACAAUACCCACCUUGUGGGAAGACAUGGGAUCCUGAAAAACCUGGCAACGUGCCUGGCACAUGGCAAGUACUCCGUAAAUGUCAGCUAGGAUUAUUUUUAUCAUUGACACCAUAUUUGGGGGCCCCAGGCUGGCAGAGUACCUGCCAGGUGUCACCCCCUUCCUGAGUCCUGACAGUUUGGCUGCAGGCCUGCGUGGAGGCUUGGAAGGAAGAAGGGAGGAAAGGAGGAAAGGAGGAAAGGAGGAAGGGGUCAGGGAAGCCCCUCUGUUUGUUUUCUGUCUCUGAGAACUUCCCAGUCUGACUCUAGCCCCUUCCCCUCCCUGCAGGCACUAACACACAAGUCCCCCAUUCACCAGAAAUCUGUCCCAGGCUCCCUGGCUGCCAUGCUCCCUGGAUAAACCCACCAGGAUGCCCUCAGCCCCUGAGGGAAGAGGAGAGAGCUUACACUCCUCCGGGCCCCUAUUUCCACGCCCAUCACCAGGCCUGGGCCCUCACAAGGCUACACACACACCAGGAAGUGCCAGGAACACAGCCACGCCAGAGCUCUCACAGAUGCCUGUGCACACACACACACACACACACACACCUUUCCAGGCAAACUUGCAUACACUUUCCUAAUGGCCAGGUCUCAGGGGCUCUGUAGGGACCACCUCGGGACAGGACAUGGUCUUCCCUCCCCCAUUCCCAUUCCCCUUCCUGCCCUGUUUCCCUCUGUCUGUCCAUCCAUCUUCAUCAACCAGUCCCAGUGGGCCCCUGCUCACUCCCUCCGUUCCCCCUCCAUCCGUCCGUCCACACAUGGGUCCAUCUGUCUGUCGCCUGCCUGUAGCUAGCCCUGCAGUGAGCAGUCUAUCCCUACCCAGCCCUGCCCAUCACUUCUGCCACAACACCCCUGCAAGAUCCUGUCCCUGUCCUCAGCAGGGUCUCUCAUCAUUUCUCUAGAACCCACCCAUCUAUCCCCCCACCCCUUCAGCUGUGUCCUUCAUCUGUCAAUCUGUCCAUCCAUCCAGCCAUCCAUCCAUCCAUCCAUCCAUCCAUCCAUCCAUCCAGCCAUCCAUCCAUCCAUCCAGCCAUCCAUCCAUCCAUCCAGCCAUCCAUCCUUCCUUCCUUCCUUCUUCCUUCCUUCCCACCUUGGCCCAGCCCCUCUCAGCCCCCUCUGCAUCCCAUCCAUCACUUCUCAGACAGGCCUCCCCAGCCAGGUAGUCACCUCCUAGCGGCUCCAUCUGUCUGUCUGUCUACCAACCCAUCCAUCCAUCUGUCUGCCAGCCCAUCCAUCAUGCCACAGGCCACUUGUCCAUUCUUGCCACCUUUCACAUGUUCCCUAGUUAGGCCCCUGUGGUAUCCCCCAGCCAGCGCAGUGUAGGUGGGGGGCGUGUGUUCAUGUCAGUAGAUAUGUCUGUGGCCGCCAGCAUGCCUUGUGCUGAGCAGAGGGCAAGGGACCUGGAUGAGGAGCUGGGGAGGGGUUGGGGACAGGAAGACUGGGAACCUCUUGGUGGGGGGCACAGCAGCUUCCCUGUGUAUUCUCCCUGUGGUCUGUUGCACCAUAGGCAUCAAUGGCCUGCUCAAAAAUAAAUACACGACUGGAAAACUCUCCCACCUCCAUUCUUUUUCCUUUUUGGGGGGGUGGUGGGGACAGAGUCUUGCUUUGUCCUCCAGGCUGGAGUGCAGUGGCACGAUCUCAGCCCACUGCAACCUCCACCUCCUGAGUUCAAGCAGUUCUCCUGUCUCAGCCUCCCAAGUUGCUGGGAUUACAGGCCUGCGCCACCACGCCUGGCUAAUUUUUGUUUUUUGGUUUUGUUUUUUCUUUUCCGGGAUGGAGUCUUGCUCUGUCACCCAGGCUGGAGUGCAAUGGCCGGAUCUUGGCUCACUACAACCUCCGCCUCCCGGAUUCAAGUGAUUCUCCUGCCUCAGCCUCCCAAGUAGCUGGUAUUACAGGCACGCGCCACCACGCCUGGUUAAUUUUUGUAUUUUUAGCAGAGAUGGGGUUUCACCAUUUUGGCCAGGCUGGUCUCGAACUCCUGACCUCAGGUGAUCCACCUGCCUCUGCCUCCCAAAAUGCUGGGAUUACCGGCAUGAGCCACUGUGCCCGGCUUCCGUUCUUCCUGAUUACUUAAGAGGGGCCUGACUAAUGCCCAGCAUGGUUGGGGACCCAGGCCCCUCAAGCCCUGGAAGUCCCUUGCCUGGGGUCAUCCAGUCUCCUCCCUCAAAGGGCUCUCACUCCCCACCGCCGCUCCCUCUCCUCUUCCUGCUGCUGAGAGACGAGAGACCAGCAGAAAGAGACUUGGAGAGACGGAGACACAGAGGCAGAUGGAGAAUGCUGGGCGCCCGGGAAAGCCCAGGAAGGAGCCCGGGCCACGUGGAGGAGAGGCAGGUGGGAGGAGGCAGGAGAGAGCAAGGCUGCCCAGGACAAUGGAGCGGGACCGGAGGAGACGCGGGGAGGGACGCGGGCCAGGGGUGCGGUGGGGGGCACGGGGUGGAACUCCGGGUCCCGUAGGGCGGGGUGGGGGAGUGGGUGGGGGGAUGGCCCACCUGCCGUGGGAGCGGGUCCGGAGGAAGCUAGGGUCUCGGGGUGGGAAGUGCUGUGUAGAAGCGAGCGCAAGAGGCGAGAGGAAGCGCGGCGGGGCGGCCCCUGUCCCAGCCUCACCCCCAUCCCCCCAAGUCUCGCACCCCGGUCCGCCCCAGCUUCCGGCUCCGCAGGUGCCGCCUUUGAGGGCCGCCGCUCGCAGUUUACCGCGGAGCCGGAGCCAGAGCCCCUUCCCCGCGGCGAGGAACUGCCUCUGCGUCUCGUAAAAGGGGUCUGGGCCUGGGGGGCGGCGGCCUCCGUCGCCAUGGAAACCGGGGCGGGGAGGCGGCGGCCCGGAGAGCCCCAUGCACUUUGCAUACCAUUGCAGGUUCCUCCCCUUGGGCCCCGCCAGCCUCGCUGGGCCCGCCUCUCUCUCCGCCCCUCCUCCCCAAACCCAUCACCCUUGCCUUUAUUUGUCUUAAAUUUAUUUUAAAAUGUAUUUAUUUAUUUUUUUCAAACAGGAUCUCGCUCUGUCACCCAGGCCAGAGUGCAGUGGUGCGAUCAUGACUCUCUACAGCCUUCCAUCUCCCCAGGCUCAGGUGAUCCUCCCACCCCAGUUUCCCAAUAGCUGGGACCACCACGCCUGGCUAAUUUUGUGUGUGUGUGUGGUGAUGUCGCCCUCUGUCACCCAGGCUGGAGUGCCGUGGCCAGAUCUUGGCCCACUGCAACCUCCGCCUCCCAGGUUCAAGCAAUUCUCCUGCCUUAGCCUCCUGAGUAGCUGGGAUUACAGGCGCGUGCCAUCACACCCGGCUAAUUUUUUUGGUAUUUUUAGUAGAGACGGGGUUUCACCACGUUGACCAGGCUGAUCUCAAACUCCUGACCUCGUGAUCUGCCUGCCUCAGCCUCCCAAAGUGCUGAGAUUACAGGCGUGAGCCACCGUGCCUGGCAAUGCCCGGCAAUUUUUGUAUUAUAGAGACAGGGUCUUGCCAUGUUGCCCAGGCUGGUGUUAAACUCCUGGACUCAAACAACCUGCCCACCUCCGCCUCCCAAAGUGUUAGGAUUACAGGCAUGAGCCACUGCACUCGGCCACCCCUGCCUUUAAAAGUCACCUCCUCCAGGAAGCUUUCAGCCACCACCACCACGCCCGGUGGCACCACUGACACUUCAUAACAAUAAUAAUUCAUCAUCACUGUGAUCGUGGCUAGGCUUGGCUGAGCUUUGUCUCUGUGCUUCCUUCACCCCCAUCUUCUUCUGUCCUCAUACCAACCCUGUAUGGAGAGGCCACUUUUGUCGAUAUUUACAAAUGAGAAAACUAAAGCUGGUAGGGGGUCUGCUCAAGGUCUCACACCUGGAAAAUUCCCUCCUCAUUCUAGUCUCAGUGUUCUCAUUUGUAAAAAGGGAAGCUCGCACCAGGCGCUUGCCGAGUGACCACGCAAGGGUGGGAAUGAGACCGCAGGUUUGUCUGAGCAGGGGCUGAGUGUGGCAUUCUGACUCUGAAGGCCUGUAGUCAGGGUAUGCAUGCUCUAGUUCACCUCAGCCCGGCUGCGUCACACCCCCACUCUGUCCCCCAGUGCAUCCCCACCCUUGGGACCCUAAGUGAAUCUCUCCAGACCAAGCUCCUAGUGACUCAAGAGACAUCUCUAAGGGGUCUUCCAGCUCUGCCAUUCUGAAGUCUUAGCUUAUUGAGAGGGUGACUCCUUGUGCUGUCUCCCUCCUCUGACUGGAUGCUCCUGGGGGUGAGGGGCUGUGCCUCUCCUGUCAGACGGGACACUGCUAAGGGUUAGGACACCUCUGUCACUCCCCUAGGUCUGUGGUCACUAGAAAUGCCCAAAUCCAGGCUGAAGGCUGACCAUGUCUCUCCAAGCACAAGCACACCCCAAGGUGCCCCAGUCCCUUGUCCUGAUCCUGAGAUCUGAGGUCUACAGGACUGGGUUCUUGGUGGGGAAACCUCCAGCUCUGCCAUAAAAAGAAAGCCUCAUCCCAGACCUUCAGACCCGUUCCAGCACAGGCUCAGAAGAGGAGAAAUGGGCCCAGAGACAACUUCCAGGG
This 9071-nucleotide long non-coding RNA is filed under the name Homo sapiens (human). RNAcentral describes it as "non-protein coding lnc-CLCNKB-1:11". Lineage: Eukaryota; Metazoa; Chordata; Mammalia; Primates; Hominidae. The record is from RNAcentral.